This 786-nucleotide ribosomal RNA is filed under the name Triticum aestivum (bread wheat). Its description in RNAcentral is "partial small subunit ribosomal RNA". Lineage: Eukaryota; Viridiplantae; Streptophyta; Magnoliopsida; Poales; Poaceae. The record is from RNAcentral.
AUGGCCACUACCUUCCGCCACAUCUUCCUUAAAGCCGCUGAGGCCUUUUGCUGGUUGAUUUGCACAAUUUCCGGCAUGCUUCUCUUAGUGCUAGCACUGACCCUUUUUGCAUCCACUAGUUCCACUCAUCCAUCUCCUUCUUCCGCUCCCACCGCUAGUUCCACCUCCUAUCACGGCACUUGCGAUGAAGAUGAGUUGCAUCGACUCAUGGCAACUCAUGUGGGCUAUGUAGUUUGCGCUAUGGCCAUUGCCAUGUUGUUGAUGGUCUUUGUUCGGAAGGUUGCGGACGGGGCAGCCAAGGACCACGAGCGGGUCGCCGCCUCGGAGGACGCAGCUUACAAGGCUGCGUACGAUGCCGCGGAGGUGGCCAAAGAGGCUAUCGGGCGCGCCGAGAAGGAGGUCAAGGAGCUCAACGACCCGCGUCGCGUCAAUCUUGCCCUGGGCGUUCUCGAGGGCGACCAGGCUUUGGCCGACGCCCGGAAGAAGCUGGAUGCGUGCGUCCAGGAGUAUAGGCGCGCCACCGAUAAGGUGGAACGCUUGAAGCCCAAGGAAGGUAUUGCUCGUCUCAACAAACGGUGGAGAAUUGCUGCGCGUUCCGCUUUCUCUUUGGCUAUUUGUGCACAUUACAUAGGUUUGGGCUGUGUAGGAUUUGCAUUUUACUACUCCUUAGAGAUAGAGACCAAGUGCAUGACGAGCUUCCUGACAAUCUUGCUGUUCGUGCUCACUGGAGUUGUAUCCACCACCAUUCAUGGUCUCUUACUUUGGGUAUCCUUGACCCAAAACUGA